UAAUACGGAGGGUCCAAGCGUUGUUCGGAAUCAUUGGGCGUAAAGCGGGUGUAGGCGGCUUGGCAAGUCGGAUGUGAAAUCCCAGGGCCCAACCCUGGAACUGCAUUCGAAACUGCCUAGCUAGAGUCGCGGAGAGGAUGGCGGAAUUCCCGGUGUAGGGGUGAAAUCCGUAGAUAUCGGGAGGAACACCAGUGGCGAAGGCGGCCAUCUGGACGCUGACUGACGCUCAGACCCGAAAGCGUGGGGAGCAAACAGGAUUAGAUACCCUGGUAGUCCACGCCGUAAACGUUGAGUGCUCGUCGUCGCGGGUAUUGACCCCUGCGGUGACCAAGCUAACGCGAGAAGCACUCCGCCUGGGGAGUACGGUCGCAAGACUA
Molecule: ribosomal RNA, 377 nt
Filed under: uncultured delta proteobacterium
Lineage: Bacteria; Deltaproteobacteria
Description: bacterial SSU rRNA
Rfam family: Bacterial small subunit ribosomal RNA
Source: RNAcentral